Salmo salar (Atlantic salmon) is the source of this 1390-nucleotide non-coding RNA. Lineage: Eukaryota; Metazoa; Chordata; Actinopteri; Salmoniformes; Salmonidae. The record is from RefSeq and is a predicted model, not a curated record.
CAGUGAACAAGCAACCAAACCAGCGUGCCUGAGUGCAGAGUUGGAUGGUGAGCCGUGCAUUGCAUGACGUGCAAUUUUGUGCUGUUCCUAUCAGGUACAUUGUUAAAGAUAUUAUAUUGUAUAUUGUAAUUGUAUUAUUUUGGUAACUACAUUGCCCAGUGAACAAGCAUCAAACCAGCGUGCGCGAGUGCAGAGUUGGAUGGUGAGCCGUGCAUUGCAUGACGUGCUGUUCCUAUCAGAAUAAAUCUCCAUGACUGGUGUUAUAAGUUGGAGUUCGUGUCGAUGAUUGAUUGUACACAACGCAAGAAGAGUACUGUUACAUAAUGAUGAUGAGACAAGUCCGGAUUGCGUUUGCCAGCAGUGGGUUCGGCAGCAGCUAGAAGGCCGGCGAUGUCGAAUGCCUGAGCUGGACAGGAGGGAGUGCCAAAGUGAAGGCUGGUGUGACAAUCGGUGUGCAUCAUUUGAUUUUGACCGAUUUAUUUUGGUUAUCACUUUGGACCUUAGUGGGGGAGCUGAGGCUGUAUCGCGGUGUGAUGACCAAUCAAGGCUCGCUAUAGCUUUCAGUCGCAUUGGAUUGGGUGGUGAUGCUAAAUUUGAGGUUACACCAACAUAAAAACCACCGUAAUCUGUGAGGUGUAAGGCUAGUUGAGAGCUCCAUGAACACGGUUAUGCCUAAGAUUUUUAGAAGCAUUAGACUAGAACCUUGAUACUGUUUGACAUCUAAGUUUGAACAUUAGUCAUGAAGGUUAGGCUAUUUAGAUUUUUUCAAAACGUGAUGUCGUUUUCUUGGGAUUUGGCUCAAUCUUCCCCCCUCUCCCCUGUAAUUAUUCUUUCCUCAGGUUGUUGCUGUAAAUGAGAAUGUGUUCUCAGUCAACUUACAUGUUAAAAUAAGGGUAAAAAAAAUAGAUUAUAUAUUACCUAGCAUGCUGUUGGCAAUCAGCUGUGGGCGAUCAGCUGUUCAUUGCCUCCAUCGGAACGUUCUGUUAGAGUUUAUUUCAGACACUCUGAAGGCUUAUUCUAGUAAUCUAUGGGGUCUAUUUAUCUUGUUAUCAGGUCCUUUAUCUUGUCUCAUGGCUUACCAGCAUAUACUGUUAGACAUAAGCUUCAGCUCAGGUAGACUUUAUUGUAGGUCUAGGUUUUAGAUGAUCAUGUCACUCUCACCGUGCACGCUGUGCAUGCUGCAGAUGUUCAGCUACUGCUGAGCAGUAUCAGUAGUGACAUUACGCUUUGGAUAGCACAGGUGGUUAUAUGUAGCUACCGUUUUAGUUGGAGGCGUUACCAUGCACGCCUCCAAUUCAAUUAUCAACUUUGCAGAUGACGCAACAGUAGUGGGCUUGAUUACCAACAACGACGACAGCCUGUAGGGAGGAGGUGAGGGCACCCGGAGUAU